Zophobas morio is the source of this 1441-nucleotide long non-coding RNA. RefSeq lists it as uncharacterized. The transcript has 2 exons. Lineage: Eukaryota; Metazoa; Arthropoda; Insecta; Coleoptera; Tenebrionidae. The record is from RefSeq and is a predicted model, not a curated record.
GGGACAAGGGACAAGGGACAAGGGACAAGGGACAAGGGACAAGGGACACCCGAGGUCCGAGUGGUUUUUUUCAUAGGCAGAAGCGAAAGGACAAAGGACCCCUUUCAUAGGCAGAAGCGAGUUUUAUUUUUUCAAAUUUUUUUAUUUUUUUAUAUUUUUUUUUAAAUUUUUUCAAUGCUUUUUAGCAACUAGGCUUAUGAGGUAACCUUCAGGCCUCUGGGAUGCUCGGGCAUGCAAAUGGUCAAAUGAGCGCUGCGGAAACAGGAGAUAAAAUAAAACAGGGGAAAAUUAAUAAUAAAUCGAGUUUUUAUUCCCUGCCACCAGUUACACAGCUAAAAUAAUCUACGGCUACUAAAUUUAAGAAAAACAAAUUACAAUUCGGUUAACGACAAAAGACAAAAAGAAUAAAACGUUGAGCACGGUCGUUUCCUCCAGGAUGGCGACUUCCUUCAGGACGGGCUCCUCCUGGACCUGGAGGCGGCGACCUUGGAACAAAAUCGCGCUGGGACAGUACGGCGAGCCGGGAGGGGCUAGCUGUGACGAAAAACGACGCGUGUUCAACGGUUUCUCAGUUUCUCCACAUCUCCAACAUUUGAUAGUGGUUGCGGUCUUGGAGGUGGCACCUGUGGACAGCCGCACGGUUGCGUGGAACUCUCAUCCCAGGGGUACCAGAGAGCUCGGUCGCUUCGGUUCCAUUCCAACGCCUUAUCCGUGAGCAUUUCCGGCAGCACGCUGAGCAUCUUGUCCGGCGGAAAAAUGCUCCAGAAGCGCCCUGGGUCGGUCUCUCCAUUGAAAAGGAUAUGGCUUUUGCGUACCAGGUCCAGGUCCAGUCCAUCCCAACGGGUGUCCCGCGGGUGUGCAUAGCACGACUGGACCGACUGGCGACUCAGACGGGGCAGUGUCGGUACCGGUGUUGGGGUGGCACAAGUUGUGUCGGGGAAAGACGGGGCGGUUCCCUGUACGUCCACGUACUUGCCUCGUCGAAUCGGCUUCCGGGGUCUCAGCAGACGCGGGAGGAAUAAGUUCCAACGUGGUGACGGGUCAUCACACUUGAAAUUGGGAACUACACCCGUAGCGCUGGUGGGAACGGUGCUAUCAAGCUAGCUCCCAGGACUCAAUUCAUCAUCACGUAUGGGUACGACUACAGAGAACAAGUGCGGUCUCUAAUAAUCCAUUCACCCGGCUCCUCCACCAAUUUUGUUAUCAACAGAAAUGGAAGUGCUUAAAAUUAAUAUUAAUUAAAAUGUGACUAAAAUAAUUAUGACUAAAGUUAGUAAGACUAGACAAUACUUAUAUAUAUAGUUAAGGCAAUAAAAUAAUAUACAAAUAAAAUGUUCAAGACUAGAAUAACCAAAUAUAUGUAUAAUAUAUGUAUUAAUAUAAUAAUACUUAAUGCAAAUGUAUGUCAGAGAUUCUCUUUAAUAAAUGUAUUAGACACCCA